AUGUGGAUGUUUCUCAAGUUCUGGUUCAAGGUCUGGCUCAGGGGGCUCUUCAUGACUCCAGCGGCGUGGUCCCAAAGGCUGGGCUUUCCAUUUAUCAUUCCAUAUCCCUUGCUCUUUCCACCGGUUGGUGACAUUGUCGACUGCAUUCGUGGCGAAAGUAAGAUCCUUAUUAAAUGGCAGUGUAUCUUUUCGUCUUGUUUUCCGCCUCAUACUCUGGUCUAUCAGACGUUCCUCCUCUAUCCUUCGCUGGUAAGCGAACUGACGUUCUGGCAUCGAGUUAAGCCUUUCCUCCUUGCGCCGCUGCCGCUCCCUUCGUCGAUCAGCUUCUGUGAGGGGGCGAGGCGGACUGGGUGGUUGUGUCGUCUCUCGCGACGCGUAUGGCGGUGGAGGGUCACUGAAUGCGGAUCGCUCGCGGGCAAGAAGCUCGGGGUUGUCCUGUAACCUCCGAAGGGCGUUAAUGACUUGCGGUAACGUAAGGGCCCCAAGGCCAUUAAAUGUAGUGACCAUGAUCGCACAAUCAGGAGGAUAGGUUUGAUUUCAACACUGUUGGCCAGAAUAUCGCGAAUAAGGGAGAGAUCCGCACAGGGUCAGCAUGAAGGUACGAGUGAAAAAAUCAAUUUCGAAGCUCAAAGUUGACGGACCGAAAAGUUGUCCUUGGGGUUGGGGGAGAUCGGUCGGGCGGUUGUUGACACUUGUUGUUAAGGCUGGGCGUUGCUUGGUGGGUGUAUGGGAGCCUUGUAAUAUUAAAUGUACACCGAAGCAAGAGAAUUCCAACCACAAUAUUUUCCACAGGGCCGAAAAAUGUUAUGUUUGAAGAAGUUCCUCCUUGAUCCUCAAUAAUGUGUUUUGUGCGCGCACAGUAUGCGUUCACAGGGUGUUGUUGGGACACUGCGAGAAUCAAAUGGAGCCAAAGUAUGGAGUUAGAUAGGCAUAAUAAAUUAAGGGUGAAUGGUGUAUUUCAACAAGGCCAUUCGGAGCGGGCAGAUCCCAGCCGCAAAGUUCAAACUCUGGGCCGCAGAAGCUUUAUUUCCUUUUUAUUUCCGUUUCUUUCUUUUCUUUUCUUUUCGUCUAUUAGUGUAUUUUACGGAGCACAGUGCGUCGAAUGACUGAGAUUGUGAGGCUCGAAAUGCUCUGGAUAAAAUUGCCCACCAACAAAUAGGGAAGCAGGCAUGAAUGCCGAGGAAGCAAGCAAGUAACCAGCUAACUAUUCACAAUAAUACAGCCCAAACAUAUGG
This 1235-nucleotide small RNA is filed under the name Histoplasma capsulatum var. duboisii H88. RNAcentral describes it as "Histoplasma capsulatum H88 hypothetical RNA". Lineage: Eukaryota; Fungi; Ascomycota; Eurotiomycetes; Onygenales; Ajellomycetaceae. The record is from RNAcentral.